RNAcentral lists this unclassified non-coding RNA (1823 nucleotides) under Amphibalanus amphitrite. RNAcentral's name for it is "uncharacterized LOC122363258, transcript variant X2". Lineage: Eukaryota; Metazoa; Arthropoda; Thecostraca; Balanomorpha; Balanidae. The record is from RNAcentral.
GGCGCGGCGGCGGUGGGUCGCGGCGGUGCAGACGGCGGGCAGCUAUGGCGGUGCGAGUGGCGCUGGUUUUGUGUGCGUGGCUGACGGCGGCCGCGGCUGGAGCCGAGUUACGGGCUACCAGGACGGCUCAGUGCCGCGCUCUAUGUUUGGACGAGUAUGGCGCCGACACGAGGACGACGCACGGCGAGUGCUUCCAGAGCGCCGGCUGCCUCACGUGCUGGGAGAAGUGCGGAUCUUUGAACCCAGAGGAUGGCGAGGACACCUGGACUCCCUGCCACCUGCUACCGGACUGUGAUGAUGCUGGCUGUCGGCUGGCCUGCCAGUUCCACUCCCUGCCGCGGGCGGCGCCACCGGCGCUGCCGGCGUGCCGCCCUGAUCUGGAGCUGAGCCGUGACGGCGCCGAGGCCCGCUGGUCGCUCUCCGAGUCCGAGUGCGACCGGCCGCGCUCCGGGGUGGUGUUUCUCCUGCUGGCCGGCGCCAGAGACGGCUGGCAGGAGCUCGUACAGACACCCGCUGAGAGCGUGCUUCUGGUGAACGUCGGUCUCGACACGCCGCUCCGUUUGCUGGCCGUCGGUCGCGACGGGCCGCUGGCUGUCGCCGAACUGCAGUCCGAUGACGCGACGGCGGCGGAUGGUCGACAGAGUCACGAAAGGAAGCCCCCGUCGGACGGCGUAUGGCUGCUGGAGACGGUCUCUGUGGAGCGCGACUCGUCCUCCAUGGUGCUGGUCCAGGUGGGCUGGCAGCGGCAGCGGUCCGCCGGCGCCGCCCCACCCCAGUACCUGGUCACCUGGGAGCUGAGCGGCGGGGGCAUCAAGGGUCACCUCUACACCGAUAUCAACUCGGUGACGCUCAGCCUGUGGCCCGAGUCGGUCUACAACAUACAGGUGGAGCUGCUGUCGGUGACCUCGGAGCGUUCUGUGCCUCUGGUGAUCAGCACGUACCGCUCGGCGGUGCCGACUGAGCAGAGGGCGCUGCCGCUGGUCCACCAGGCAGCCCUGGCGCUGCUCGCUGCUCUCCUGCUCGGCGCGGUGGCCGUGGCGGUGGUCCUGGCGGCGCGCCGGUGCCGCUGGGGUCAUCUGCAGGGGGAGGGGACCGUCCCGGUCCGUCCGGUGUUCAUACUGCGCUCAGCCGGUCGUCAGAAGAGGGUGCCGUCGCCCUUGCGGAGCGUGCUGGUUGAGUCGUGGAGCCCGCCGGCGCCGGUACAUCGCGAGGUGCCCGGCAGCUGAGGGUGCGGGGAGGUCGGUCGCAGCUCUCAGCUCUCACCUCUCAGCUGCCAGUGAAGAGUGGGGUGUGUUUGAGUGUGACGCUGUGUCACUCGACACGGUGCUAUGUCCGUAUUUUCGUGGCCAUGAUUGCUGGUAGAUGAUGUAGCGCGGGAUCGAAUCAUUUCGCUUGUGUGUUCCGUUUUACGUGUGUUGUGUUUCUAAUCUUGAUCGAAUGUGUGCCAAUGCCAUGUGUGCACUGAAUCUGCUGUGGCAGACCUCUGCACAAAGUAACAUAAGUCAAUUGUGACGAUCAUCUGUGAUAUGUAAAUAUAAACUGCUUGUGUUCAGUGUCUAAUGUCCGUGAUGCUUCUUCUCGACAUAGUUACUUAUCUUGUUCGUUGACUUACCAUUUCGUAUUAUUCCAACCCUAUGCAGGAUGUCAGUUUUUUUUUUUGUUUCGAAUAGAAUGACAUCCGACUUUCUUCGCCUGGAUAGGAAUUCAGCCUUCUUUCUGCUGGAUUUUGAUGCUUGACUUACCUCAAACGUAGUGUUUCAGUUUAUGUUUUGUGCAGGGCUGCGGAGUCGAUGGAUUUUCGGCGACUCCGACUCCGACUCCGA